UUCCUCUCUCCUCGCUUCUUUUUUCUCUCUCCCUCCGUCUUCGCGUGCCCUAGCUCUUUCUCUCUGCAAUUGCGGCGUGACCUAGCCGCUUCAUCUCUGUGAUCGAUUGAUGGAUAAUCAGUUUCACUGAGCUUGCGGCGUGCAGCAAAGAACUAGUGCCACUGGUGGAUCAUCUUGGAGAGAUUCUUGGCAGUAAUCAUGUUAGGAGGAGUAAGUUAUGGAAUAAUGGAAGUUGGUUUGUGGUUCUGGUGCUGAUAGAGCACGAGAGGAAGAGGCUCUGCUGCGUGAUGGAGUGCCAGAAGCCGUUCGUUGAUGAGUGUAUGCGCAAACUGCACAGAAUGAGGGUCUCUCUCUGAGUGGUGGUGCAGGUCUUCUUCUCUGAGCAGUUUAAGAUAAGCAACGUGGUUGCCAUGAAAGAUGGCGGGGAGUCACUGUACCAGCCCAUGGUGCCAAACCGGAAGACAUUUUUGGAGGGAACUUCUCAAUCAUUUCAAGAAGGAUAGAUAACGGCAAAGGAGGACAUCAGCACUCUCAAGUUCAAGCUGGAGACUGUCAGAACGACAUGGAGAUGUUGCAGCGCGACUUCAACAAGUUGGACAAGCCCAAGCAGACGUCGGCAUGAACAUCCGGAUGGAAGAAAUUCAGCAAGCUCACGAAGAUGGCAGACGGCAAUGACAAUGGAUCCCAGCCGCCAACUGCUAGAAGAUGGAGAGAAACUCCAUUUCUUGAAUUGCUUUUGGUCGUUGCUAGGUGCUGCUGUUGUUUCUACGUGUGUUUUCUGUUUAGACUAGUUAUUUAAAAAAUUUGAAUUUUAAAUUGAAUUCUAGUUCAAUUCCAAUUCAUUUGUUUUGAGUUACUACCAAACAAAGGAUUUGGAAUUAUAAUACAAUUCCGUAUCAAUUCUUUAAUUAUACCAAA
This is a long non-coding RNA of Salvia splendens (bonfire salvia), 918 nucleotides long. RefSeq lists it as uncharacterized. The record is from RefSeq and is a predicted model, not a curated record. The transcript has 2 exons. Lineage: Eukaryota; Viridiplantae; Streptophyta; Magnoliopsida; Lamiales; Lamiaceae.